GCACUGUUGAAAUUCGCAUUAGUAGUCUGCACUAGUAGUCUGCACUAGUAGUCACAUUUAAAAAAAUUAAUUUUCACUUAUUUAUCAAUUAAUACACUUUUACUAUAUUCACUCCUGAGCUUUGCUAUUUGCUAUAAUAUAUGUAUACUCCACAAAUUUUGUUAGUAGAGGGUAUAGGCGGGUUCUACCUCACUUUUGGGUAGGGGGUAAGAUAGGGCCUAACCCAGGUCAGUUAUGACUCAUGCGCGGCUCUAACCCAAGUCGGUUCUGGGUCGGCAGUCCAAACAGGGGCCGAGGGGGUAUGACGUCACGAAUGGUAUGUUGCGACACUUUUCUAUCUAUAUUCUAGGAAUUAUUGUUUACGAUUAUGUUUAUGACUCUGUGGCACUAACGCUAUUUGAGCGCCGAUACCCGGCUGCUGGAAUGUAUGAUAUAUCGUAAGAUAACGUCUGGCGGGUAAGCUAAGUGUAGUACAAUUUUCAAACACCAUAAUCUGCGUGGUUCACCGUGCGGCACUUUUCUAUCUAUAUUCUAGGAAUGAAUAUUUAAAAAAUGAUUACGCAACCACGAACCGGAAACCAUUUGAGCGUUGACACUCGGCUGCUGGAAUGCGUGAUAUAUUUUAAGAUAAAACAUUCCAGCGGAUAAACCACGGGUCUGAAGAUUAUUACCUACGUUCCCAAAAUUAACAAUAACAAAUCCCCUCCUCACCAAGUUCCAUCUCUCACAAAUUUUUAAACCAAUCAGUUUUCACGCAAAGUCUCCACCCUCGCCUCUAACAAAUCGCUGGUCCUACUCUUAUUUUUUCUACUGGCUACAUGCAAAAGAUUUUUUCACAUUCAGUCAGUUGAUCGUCAGAGUGAUCGAAAAGUGUAGUGAACGAGAAAUAAGAAUAUGUGGGCCGCUUACCGAAGAGAAAUGGAGCUGCAACAGCAGGCCUGUGAAAACAUCGCGGAUAUCGUAAAGGUCCGAUACCCACAUACUGGGGUAAGUUACAUAUUCAAGAAACAUUGUUUAACGUCUACAGACUUUGUCUUUCAUUUCUUAUUUUAUGUGUUUCAGUAUAUAUGGGUGGGUGACCAGCCCUUCCAACAAGUGCAAUUAUACCGCGAGGUUGGUAUAAAAUUCGAUCCCUCCCCGGUAAGUAUAUACAUUCACCCGUACAUACUUGCAUAUAUUUAUACCGUUGCUUUUUCUUUUUUCCAGAUCAUAGAUCCGGUCAAUAUUAACAUCAAUGGAUUUGUAAACAUCCAACGCAGGAGAUGGGUUAGGUGGAUGCGUAAGGACAGGAAGCAGUACGCAAAUUAUUUUAAUAACAUGGUAGAAAAAUCCGUCGACGGUGAUGACAUCUUCCAUUUAAGAAAGCUGUUCGGGAUGGAGGGGUUGGGAGGAGGAGGAAGACUGGAAUGAUGACAUCGGUAUGUAAUUUAUUCAUUCUUUCAUUUAUUUUUAUACAACUGUUCUAUUACGAAUAUUAAACUAAUAAACUUUUUUGUUAAUCUUUCAGAAAUACCCUAUGGGGGAAAUUCCCAGACAAAGGAGUGGGACGAGGAGGAAUGGGUGGCAUGGGUAGAAGAAAAUUGGGAUGAUGACAUCGAUGCUAUAUUGGAGACAAUUGGAGAGGAUUUCCAAUCAAGAUUGAGGAUUGAGGAUGAUGAUGAUGAUGAUAUCCGUGAGUUAUUUUUUCUUUUCAACUGCAUUCUAUUAUGAAUAAGUGUAAUAACCAACUCGUUUCUUUUUACAGAAAUUGUAUUCGAGAGAAAGAGGUUGCGGAGGGACGACGACGAUGACGAGGAUGUCAUAUUCCUCUGUGAACGGAAACGCAUGAGGUUUACGGAGGAAGACGAUGAGGAGUGCGAGGAGGAGAGCGAAGAUGAGAGCGAAGAGGAGAGCAAGGAGUGCGAAGA
RNAcentral lists this long non-coding RNA (1907 nucleotides) under Ooceraea biroi (clonal raider ant). RNAcentral's name for it is "uncharacterized LOC105286638, transcript variant X2". Lineage: Eukaryota; Metazoa; Arthropoda; Insecta; Hymenoptera; Formicidae. The record is from RNAcentral.